CAGCUCCCAAGAUAUAUUAAGGUGUAAAUAAAGAUGAGAGUGAGAACAUUGGAAUAAUACAGAAAUCUGAACAUGGGACGCUUUCAGACAGGAAGGAGUGUCAUAAUGUUGUCUGUGAAGUCCAGUAACCACACUGUUGUCUGUGAAGCCCAGUAACCACACUGUUGUCUAUGAAGCCCAGUAACCAGACUGUUGUCUGUGAAGUCCAGUAACCUCAGAAAGGGUCCUGUCUGUCUCAGCUGUAAUACCAGUCUACAGGGUAACAGUCUGGUGGUCCAGUCUACAUGGUAACAGUCUGCUGGUCCAGUCUACAGGGUAACAGUCUGCUGGUCCAGUCUACAGGGUAGGAGGGGAACAGUCUACAUGGUAGGAGGGUAACAGUCUGGUGGUCCAGUCUACAGGGUAACAGUCUGCUGGUCCAGUCUACAGGGUAACAGUCUGCUGGUCCAGUCUACAGGGUAACAGUCUGGUGGUCCAGUCUACAGGGUAACAGUCUGGUGGUCCAGUCUACAGGGUAACAGUCUGGUGGUCCAGUCUACAGGGUAACAGUCUGGUGGUCCAGUCUACAGGGUAACAGUCUGGUGGUCCAGUCUACAGGGUAACAGUCUGCUGGUCCAGUCUACAGGGUAACAGUCUGCUGGUCCAGUCUACAGGGUAACAGUCUGGUGGUCCAGUCUACAGGGGUAACAGUCUGGUGGUCCAGUCUACAGGGUAACAGUCUGGUGGUCCAGUCUACAGGGUAACAGUCUGGUGGUCCAGUCUACAGGGUAACAGUCUGGUGGUCCAGUCUACAGGGUAACAGUCUGCUGGUCCAGUCUACAGGGUAACAGUCUGGUGGUCCAGUCUACAGGGUAACAGUCUGGUGGUCCAGUCUACAGGGUAACAGUCUGCUGGUCCAGUCUACAUGGUUUAGCUUAUAAAACGGUCCAGAAACACAGAAAGGCGUUAAAAUGAAUUUCCAUUUAACAGUCAAUAAGACAAGUUAGUAAACAACAACAGUUUGUCUGUCAGGUGUCCUGCCGUCCCUGUUGGUUAGUAAAGUGUCCCAACGGUGGCCUGUCUAGGACAGGUCAGUUACAGACAGACAGACAGGUUGUGUAGUCUAGGACAGGUCAGUUCCAGACAGACAGACAGGUUGUGUAGUCUAGGACAGGUCCGUUACAGACAGACAGGUUGUGUAGUCUAGGACAGGUCAGUUACAGACAGACAGGUUGUGUAGUCUAGGACAGGUCAGUUCCAGACAGACAGACAGGUUGUGUAGUCUAGGACAGGUCAGUUCCAGACAGACAGACAGGUUGUGUAGUCUAGGACAGGUCCGUUACAGACAGACAGGUUGUGUAGUCUAGGACAGGUCCGUUACAGACAGACAGACAGGUUGUGUAGUCUAGGACAGGUCCGUUACAGACAGGUUGUGUAGUCUAGGACAGGUCCGUUACAGACAGACAGACAGGUUGUGUAGUCUAGGACAGGUCAGUCACAGACAGACAGACAGACAGACAGGUUGUGUAGUCUAGGACAGGUCAGUCACAGACAGACAGACAGACAGACAGGUUGUGUAGUCUAGGACAGGUCAGUUCCAGACAGACAGACAGACAGGUUGUGUAGUCUAGGACAGGUCAGUUCCAGACAGACAGACAGACAGGUUGUGUAGUCUAGGACAGGUCCGUUCCAGACAGACAGUCUAGGACAGGUCAACGACAGACAGGCUGUGUAGUGACAGACAGCUGAUAUGAACAGUGAUUAGAGUGUAGUAAUAACAAUAGAAAAGAUAAUUACGACAGUGACAUUAAAGACCUAACAUUUAUCCCCCGUUAACCACAGUCCUGGAAUCAGAUGUUAACUCCUGUCUCUACAUAGUGGAGGUUAGACCCCCGUUAACCACAGUCCUGGAAUCAGAUGUUAACUCCUGUCUCUACAUAGUGGAGGUUAGGACCCCCCGUUAACCACAGUCCUGGAAUCAGAUGUUAACUCCUGUCUCUACAUAGUGGAGGUUAGGACCCCCUGUUAACCACAGUCCUGGAAUCAGAUGUUAACUCCUGUCUCUACAUAGUGGAGGUUAGGACCCCCGUUAACCACAGUCCUGGAAUCAGAUGUUAACUCCUGUCUCUACAUAGUGGAGGUUAGGGGACCCCCUGUUAACCACAGUCCUGGAAUCAGAUGUUAACUCCUGUCUCUACAUAGUGGAGGUUAGGGGACCCCCUGUUAACCACAGUCCUGGAAUCAGAUGUUAACUCCUGUCUCUACAUAGUGGAGGUUAGGGACCCCCUGUUAACCACAGUCCUGGAAUCAGAUGUUAACUCCUGUCUCUACAUAGUGGAGGUUAGGGACCCCCUGUUAACCACAGUCCUGGAAUCAGAUGUUAACUCCUGUCUACAUAGUGGAGGUUAGGGACCCCCCGUUAACCACAGUCCUGGAAUCAGAUGUUAACUCCCGUCUCUACAUAGUGGAGGUUAGGGACCCCCGUUAACCACAGUCCUGGAAUCAGAUGUUAACUCCUGUCUACAUAGUGGAGGUUAGGGACCCCCGUUAACCACAGUCCUGGAAUCAGAUGUUAACUCCUGUCUACAUAGUGGAGGUUAGACCCCCCGUUAACCACAGUCCUGGAAUCAGAUGUUAACUCCUGUCUACAUAGUGGAGGUUAGACCCCCGUUAACCACAGUCCUGGAAUCAGAUGUUAACUCCUGUCUCUACAUAGUGGAGGUUAGGACCCCCGUUAACCACAGUCCUGGAAUCAGAUGUUAACUCCUGUCUCUACAUAGUGGAGGUUAGGGACCCCCCGUUAACCACAGUCCUGGAAUCAGAUGUUAACUCCCGUCUCUACAUAGUGGAGGUUAGGACCCCCGUUAACCACAGUCCUGGAAUCAGAUGUUAACUCCCGUCUCUACAUAGUGGAGGUUAGGGACCCCCCGUUAACCACAGUCCUGGAAUCAGAUGUUAACUCCUGUCUCUACAUAGUGGAGGUUAGACCCCCGUUAACCACAGUCCUGGAAUCAGAUGUUAACUCCUGUCUCUACAUAGUGGAGGUUAGGGACCCCCGUUAACCACAGUCCUGGAAUGAGAUGUUAACUCCUGUCUCUACAUAGUGGAGGUUAGGACCCCCCGUUAACCACAGUCCUGGAAUCAGAUGUUAACUCCUGUCUACAUAGUGGAGGUUAGACCCCCGUUAACCACAGUCCUGGAAUCAGAUGUUAACUCCUGUCUACAUAGUGGAGGUUAGACCCCCGUUAACCACAGUCCUGGAAUCAGAUGUUAACUCCUGUCUCUACAUAGUGGAGGUUAGACCCCCCGUUAACCACAGUCCUGGAAUCAGAUGUUAACUAGGUUAAGGGAUCUGAUGCUAGAUAGACAGAAAGGUUCAACCUCCUCGUUAUUCCGUCGACCCCCAGACAGGGGGGGGGGGCCCUGAUGAACUCCAGACAGGGGGGGGGGCCCUAAUGAACUCCAGACAGUUGUACAAUAACAGAUGUCAACAGAAACCAAAUCCCUUGUGUCUUUCACUCCCAAAUAAACACCGUCUCUCCCUCUUUCUGAGAAAGUUGAUCCACUCCGGUCACCAGUUCAUAUAUACACGCUGACCUCAGGGGUUAAAGUUCAUGUACAUAUUGACCUCAGGGGUUAAAGUUCAUAUACACGUUGACCUCGGGGUUGCUGUGUGUCAGGGUCAUAGGUCAGGGUCCUAAGCAGUGACCUCAGAAGUUGUGGCCGGUAACGGGAGGAGGGACACAGUGUACCGGACAGUGGAGUCGUCUCCAGCUAAGGACUAACGGUGAAGCAACAGUCACAGCUAAAUGAGCAUGUGCAAAAUCCCUGCUUAGUACACACACACACCCCUCACCGGGGCUGUAGAAGUUUAGUUAGAUUCACUCUGUGAUCAGAGACGAGCUUUAAAAAAACAGUCAGAACAGCCAGGAAUACUGUCUACAGGACACAGUCUCUGAGCUGAGAGAGGAGAGGGGGAAGAGAGAGAGAGAGAGAGAGCGGGAAGAGAGAGAGAGAGAGAGGAGCGGGGAAGAGAGAGAGAGAGGAGCGGGGAAGAGAGAGAGAGAGAGGAGCGGGGAAGAGAGAGAGAGAGAGGAGCGGGGAAGAGAGAGAGAGAGAGGAGAGGGGAAGAGAGAGAGAGAGAGGGAAGAGAGAGAGAGGAGCGGGGAAGAGAGAGAGAGGAGCGGGGAAGAGAGAGAGAGGAGCGGGGAAGAGAGAGAGAGAGAGGAAACGGGAAGAGAGAGAGGAAACGGGAAGAGAGAGAGGAGAGGAAACGGGAAGAGAGAGAGGAGAGGAAACGGGAAGAGAGAGAGGAGAGGAAACGGGAAGAGAGAGAGGAGAGGAAACGGGAAGAGAGAGAGGAGAGGAAACGGGAAGAGAGGAAACGGCGAGGUGGAAAGACUGAGGAGAGGAUUCCAGGGGUGUUGUCGAGGUGUUCCCUCACAACAGGAAGGGGUUGGUGGUCCCAGGAGGAUGUGUGCCCGCUGUGGGGGGCAGAGCUGAACUGAACAGGGGCUGGGACAUAGACACAGAGGUUGGGAUACCCCC
RNAcentral lists this long non-coding RNA (4527 nucleotides) under Salmo salar (Atlantic salmon). RNAcentral describes it as "lncRNA (ENSSSAG00000098460.1)". The record is from RNAcentral. Lineage: Eukaryota; Metazoa; Chordata; Actinopteri; Salmoniformes; Salmonidae.